GAGGGUAUAGCUCAGUAACAGAACGCGUGCCUGGCACGCACGAGGUCCUGGGUUUGAUCCCAGGUACCUCCA
This 72-nucleotide transfer RNA is filed under the name Camelus bactrianus (Bactrian camel). It matches the Rfam family "tRNA". Rfam says of the family: Transfer RNA (tRNA) molecules are approximately 80 nucleotides in length. The record is from Rfam by way of RNAcentral. RNAcentral also lists the same sequence under 1 other name. Lineage: Eukaryota; Metazoa; Chordata; Mammalia; Artiodactyla; Camelidae.